GAUGAAGAACGCAGCGAAAUGCGAUAAGUAAUGUGAAUUGCAGAAUUCAGUGAAUCAUCGAAUCUUUGAACGCAUCUUGCGCUCCUUGGUAUUCCUUGGAGCAUGCCUGUUUGAGUAUCAUGAGCAAAUCUCAAAGUCAAUUCCUUUUGUUGAUUCAAUUGGUUUUGCUUUGGACUUGGAGGCCUUGCAGAUUUCACAGUCUGCUCCUCUUAAAUGCAUUAGCUGGAUCUCAGUAAUUAUGCUUGGUUCCCCUCGGCGUGAUAAGUAUCACUCGCUGAGGACACUGUUAAAAAGGUGGCCAGGAAAAUACUGAUUGAACCGCUUCUAACGGUCUAUUAAGUUAGACAAUUACCCUUAAGUUUGAUCUCAAAUCAGGUAGGACUACCCGCUGAACUUAAGCAUAUCAAUAAGCGGAGGA
Molecule: unclassified non-coding RNA, 418 nt
Filed under: soil metagenome
Description: partial contains 5.8S ribosomal RNA, internal transcribed spacer 2, and large subunit ribosomal RNA
Rfam family: 5.8S ribosomal RNA (bases 1-120)
Source: RNAcentral